RNAcentral lists this antisense RNA (75 nucleotides) under Streptomyces scopuliridis RB72. RNAcentral's name for it is "ASpks TB sRNA". It matches the Rfam family "ASpks TB sRNA". Lineage: Bacteria; Bacillati; Actinomycetota; Actinomycetes; Kitasatosporales; Streptomycetaceae. The record is from Rfam by way of RNAcentral.
CUUCACCGAACCGAGCAGCAGCGGACGCUCCGGGUCACGAUCACGGCCGUACGUGGCCAGCAGCGCCUGCGCCUC